AAUCUGUAUUGUCAAACACGGAAGAAGAAGGAUACAACCAUAAUUAAACCAAGAAGUUUAUGAAGAAGGGAUCACUGGAUUAUGUCACUUUGGUACAAGACACAGGAAAGGAUAUCAUAGACCACCUUAUUUAUACGGAAGCAUAUGAGCUGUUGAAGGAAAUUGCUGCCAGACAGUCAGCAGUUAUCACUGACAGCCUGUCCUGGCCCAGCUUGGACCAUCCUCAAGCUAACCAUGAUGGUGUGUUUGCAAGAAUUGUCCAUUUGGUAGACCAUGAUGAAGACCAGCUUUGUUGUGGCAUGGCCUGACAAUACUGUACAAGCCAGAGACCAAAAAAGGGUUAAGUGGUGACUGAUCCUCUCACCCUCCUUAUCCAGGAAACGUUUCGGAACAACGUGUUGGCACUGAAGAUGUGGAGGACACAGAUUGAUCUCAGUACACCCUUUGGAUACAUGGACACCUUCAACGGGACGACAACAAAACUGUACCUGCCUUUUUUUUAAAGGAAGUAGUUAAUAAAAUUAUUGUUAACAGCUUUUUUAGUCUUGUUGUUUAAGAAUGCUUGCAACAUUUAAGUGGAUAAACGGUUGUUUUAAAUUUGAAUAUUCAGUAAUGCAUUCUUUAUUAAAUGAUGUAAUCUUAUU
Dreissena polymorpha is the source of this 644-nucleotide long non-coding RNA. RefSeq lists it as uncharacterized. The record is from RefSeq and is a predicted model, not a curated record. NCBI's taxonomy places the organism in Eukaryota, Metazoa, Mollusca, Bivalvia, Myida, Dreissenidae. The transcript has 4 exons.